Gossypium hirsutum (cotton) is the source of this 107-nucleotide non-coding RNA. Lineage: Eukaryota; Viridiplantae; Streptophyta; Magnoliopsida; Malvales; Malvaceae. The record is from Rfam.
AAACCAUGGUAAUGACAUUUACAUAGCAUAAGUUUGAAAUGCUCCUACGCUUCAUAUAAUGACUCUACCUCGAGCUACAGAAAGUUGGUAAUGUCCAUUCUGAGCUU